RNAcentral lists this ribosomal RNA (253 nucleotides) under uncultured bacterium. RNAcentral describes it as "partial 16S ribosomal RNA". It matches the Rfam family "Bacterial small subunit ribosomal RNA", at positions 524 to 776 of the family's 1533-position model. The record is from RNAcentral.
UACGAAGGGUGCAAGCGUUACUCGGAAUUACUGGGCGUAAAGCGUGCGUAGGUGGUUCGUUAAGUCUGAUGUGAAAGCCCCGGGCUCAACCUGGGAAUGGCAUUGGAAACUGGCGACCUAGAGUGCGGUAGAGGGUAGUGGAAUUCCCGGUGUAGCAGUGAAAUGCGUAGAGAUCGGGAGGAACAUCCGUGGCGAAGGCGACUACCUGGACCAGCACUGACACUGAGGCACGAAAGCGUGGGGAGCAAACAGG